UGAGUGAAGAAGGCCUUCGGGUUGUAAAGCUCUUUUGUCAGGGAAGAAACGGCUGAGGAUAAUACCUUCGGCUAAUGACGGUACCUGAAGAAUAAGCACCGGCUAACUACGUGCCAGCAGCCGCGGUAAUACGUAGGGUGCAAGCGUUAAUCGGAAUUACUGGGCGUAAAGCGUGCGCAGGCGGUUUUGUAAGUCUGACGUGAAAGCCCCGGGCUCAACCUGGGAAUUGCGUUGGAGACUGCAUGGCUUGAAUCUGGCAGAGGGGGGUAGAAUUCCACGUGUAGCAGUGAAAUGCGUAGAGAUGUGGAGGAACACCGAUGGCGAAGGCAGCCCCCUGGGUCAAGAUUGACGCUCAUGCACGAAAGCGUGGGGAGCAAACAGGAUUAGAUACCCUGGUAGUCCACGCCCUAAACGA
This 415-nucleotide ribosomal RNA is filed under the name uncultured bacterium. RNAcentral describes it as "bacterial SSU rRNA". It matches the Rfam family "Bacterial small subunit ribosomal RNA", at positions 402 to 809 of the family's 1533-position model. The record is from RNAcentral.